This 126-nucleotide small RNA is filed under the name Salmonella enterica subsp. enterica serovar Agona. RNAcentral describes it as "partial RtT sRNA". It matches the Rfam family "RtT RNA". Rfam says of the family: This family represents a bacterial cis-regulatory element known as RtT RNA. The exact function of RtT is unknown although it is thought that it may be involved in changing the cellular response in relation to amino acid starvation. The record is from RNAcentral. Lineage: Bacteria; Pseudomonadati; Pseudomonadota; Gammaproteobacteria; Enterobacterales; Enterobacteriaceae.
GUCUGCACUUGUCGGGGAAGGGUGAGAACCUUCGAUUAAGGUUCGACUCGAGCGAAAGCGAGAGAACGUUGCCAACGGCAACGGCCCGUAGGGUGAGGAGCGAAGCGACGAAUAAUCCUUCCCCCA